AGUAAUGUACGGGGAUCUGCCCGAUAGAGGGGAAUAACUACUGGAAACGGUGGCUAAUACCGCAUAAUGUCUACGGACCAAAGCAGGGGCUCUUCGGACCUUGCACUAUCGGAUGAACCCAUAUGGGAUUAGCUAGUAGGUGGGGUAAAGGCUCACCUAGGCGACGAUCUCUAGCUGGUCUGAGAGGAUGAUCAGCCACACUGGGACUGAGACACGGCCCAG
RNAcentral lists this ribosomal RNA (222 nucleotides) under uncultured bacterium. RNAcentral's name for it is "partial 16S ribosomal RNA". It matches the Rfam family "Bacterial small subunit ribosomal RNA", at positions 109 to 334 of the family's 1533-position model. The record is from RNAcentral.